Molecule: long non-coding RNA, 378 nt
Filed under: Salvia miltiorrhiza (redroot sage)
Lineage: Eukaryota; Viridiplantae; Streptophyta; Magnoliopsida; Lamiales; Lamiaceae
Description: long non-coding RNA (SMIL_LNC014251)
Source: RNAcentral
AAAAAGUUCAAGAUAUAUGGACGUUAUAAUAAAUUGAACAAAUAACGGCAAUAUUAAUCUGAAAAAAAUCAUGUCCGCCCGAAAUAAUAUUAUUCAAAAAAUUGUCCGACCGAAAUUCUAGAUUAAUGGGCGGACAAUUGUUUUAAGUCAUAUUUAUGGGGCGGUCAUUCAAUUAAGCAUCCUAAAACAAAAAAGUUUUCGGACAUAUUAAUAUAAUACACAAAUUUUAUGUCAACAAUAAUAUGUUUGCCUAGUUGCUAGACUUCACAUCAUAUAUACCUAUUACGAGUUUGGGAAACAAAGUGAAAAAUAAAAUAAAAAUGAACACACCACAUUUAAAAAAAAAAAUCACUCUCACCGAGUACCUCCACCCCCCAC